GUGAACGCUGGCGGUAGGCCUAACACAUGCAAGUCGAACGGCAGCACCGUAAGAGCUUGCUCUUACGGGUGGCGAGUGGCGGACGGGUGAGGAAUACAUCGGAAUCUACUUUUUCGUGGGGGAUAACGUAGGGAAACUUACGCUAAUACCGCAUACGACCUACGGGUGAAAGCAGGGGAUCUUCGGACCUUGCGCGAUUGAAUGAGCCGAUGUCGGAUUAGCUAGUUGGCGGGGUAAAGGCCCACCAAGGCGACGAUCCGUAGCUGGUCUGAGAGGAUGAUCAGCCACACUGGAACUGAGACACGGUCCAGACUCCUACGGGAGGCAGCAGUGGGGAAUAUUGGGCAAUGGGCGCAAGCCUGAUCCAGCCAUACCGCGUGGGUGAAGAAGGCCUUCGGGUUGUAAAGCCCUUUUGUUGGGAAAGAAAAGCAGCAGGUUAAUACCCCGCUGUUCUGACGGUACCCAAAGAAUAAGCACCGGCUAACUUCGUG
RNAcentral lists this ribosomal RNA (491 nucleotides) under uncultured bacterium. Its description in RNAcentral is "partial 16S ribosomal RNA". It matches the Rfam family "Bacterial small subunit ribosomal RNA", at positions 29 to 507 of the family's 1533-position model. The record is from RNAcentral.